AAGAACGAAGAUCAACUUCUCCAUCGCUUGCCAGCUGCGAUAUCACUCUGCUGCUCAGCUUCCCGCGUCUUUUCGUGUGCCUGGAUUUGAAGAAAAUCAUCUGCGAGGUAAGCUGAUUGUGUGAUUUCAUCCCCUGAAUCUCUCUUCCAAUUUCAAGUUGAUGCUUACUAUUGGUAGAUAAUUUCUUAUUUGUGCUGAAUCGGUCAGGAUUUCUGUGGUCUGGAUUUGAAUUUUCCAUCAAUGGCUCGUGUGGAAUCACCUGCAUUAUGCAUCAACGAUGUUCUGGCUCCUCAUCUACUGAUGGAAAUCUUGAUUCGCGCCCCUUGGGACGAUUUGCUUCCGUGUAAGAACGUCUGCAAGCUUU
Molecule: long non-coding RNA, 364 nt
Filed under: Linum usitatissimum (flax)
Lineage: Eukaryota; Viridiplantae; Streptophyta; Magnoliopsida; Malpighiales; Linaceae
Description: long non-coding RNA (LUSI_LNC004259)
Source: RNAcentral